Molecule: non-coding RNA, 1268 nt
Organism: Microcebus murinus (gray mouse lemur)
Lineage: Eukaryota; Metazoa; Chordata; Mammalia; Primates; Cheirogaleidae
Source: RefSeq, a predicted model, not a curated record
GCGCCGCUUCGGGUGUGAGGACGACGCGCUCCCCCGCAGCCUCGCACGCCGAGGCUGCUCGGGCGCGCUUCUCCCACCGCAAGCGGCCGCCGAGAGCCCCGAGAGCCCACAGCCUUGCGCCGGCAGCUGGGGCCUGGGACCGUGGUGUCUGCGCUGUGCACAUGGGGACGUCGAGGCAAACCGCCAGCGAGCGGCUGGGGAGGAAUGCAGGGGCGUACACCCAGUGAUUUCUAAUCUCUGAAACCAGUGAUUUCCAACUUGUUCGCCAAGAAACUCUCAGACGGAAAUCAUGCUACCGCUCGGUUUGAAUAUUUUUUCAAAUACAAUGAUCUGAGUUGAAUUGAGUUCUUGAAGACUUCUCAAAAACAGAGCAACCACUGUGAAAAUGUUAAUCAAGAGGUAAAACAACUUGAUGCUUUACAGAAGAGAAAGUAGAAAAGACAGCAGCAGAAGAAAAGAGACCACAUGAAGAUGAAACCUUUUAAGAUGAGUAAGCAGGAAAUUGUUAAGUUAUAGGAACCCAUUAUAACAGCAGCAGAACUCUGUGGAACUGAGUUAAUUAUACCACACUGCAAAUAUCUUUAACUUCAUUAAGUUUUGGUAGUAACUGGAAAAAGUUUGCAAGUGUUAGAAUCUCCAAAAAGUAAAGAAGACACCAAUGAUCUUGAAUCAAUGGAGACAACAGGUCAAGAUAAAAUGAAAUAAGCCAGCAGAAAAAAGGAUAAAAUACAGCAUUUUUUAGGAAGAAGUAAAUCUAUUUCAGUUUCCCUUAGAGUAAAAGGGAGUGACUCUAAGACAAGGAAGUCUCACUAUUAACUACUGACCUACUUAGGAAUCAGUUUUCACUAGGGGUAUUCUAAACGCUUUCUAUGUAAAUGCUGGAAUUACCUCCAGGGUCAGUUUAGGUUAUGUACACGUCAGUUUCACCUCUCAGUAAUACCUAGAGAAUACUCAUUUACAAAGUUAUGACCUUGGUGGAUGUGAUAUUAUAAAAUACGCAUUUAAUCUUCAACCUGACAUACAACUCCUAAAAGCCUUAAGAACUCUAAAGUGAUGUCUUUUUAUACACUAAUGAGAUGACUGCUGGCUGCUAGUCCCUAAAUAGCUUCACGAUUGGGGCUGGUUACCAGAUUAGAGGCUUGGGACUUUCAUUCUUACCCCCACCCUCUGGGGAGGGGAGAGGUGCUAAAAGUAAAGUUGAUCACCAAUGACCAACAGUUUAAUCAAUUCUGACUACAUAAUACAGACUUGAUAACACCCUCCCCCCC